RNAcentral lists this unclassified non-coding RNA (316 nucleotides) under plant metagenome. RNAcentral describes it as "partial contains 5.8S ribosomal RNA, internal transcribed spacer 2, and large subunit ribosomal RNA". The stretch from base 1 to 105 matches the Rfam family "5.8S ribosomal RNA", at positions 50 to 154 of the family's 154-position model. The record is from RNAcentral.
GAAAUGCGAUAACUAGUGUGAAUUGCAGAAUUCCGUGAAUCAUCGAGUCUUUGAACGCACAUUGCGCCCCCUGGUAUUCCGGGGGGCAUGCCUGUCCGAGCGUCAUUGCUGCCCAUCAAGCACGGCUUGUGUGUUGGGUCGUCGUCCCCUCUCCGGGGGGGACGGGCCCCAAAGGCAGCGGCGGCACCGCGUCCGAUCCUCGAGCGUAUGGGGCUUUGUCACCCGCUCUAUAGGCCCGGCCGGCGCUUGCCGAACGCAAAUCAAUCUUUUUCCAGGUUGACCUCGGAUCAGGUAGGGAUACCCGCUGAACUUAAGC